Molecule: ribosomal RNA, 402 nt
Filed under: uncultured bacterium
Lineage: Bacteria
Description: bacterial SSU rRNA
Rfam family: Bacterial small subunit ribosomal RNA
Source: RNAcentral
UGGGGAAUCUUGCACAAUGGGGGCAACCCUGAUGCAGCGACGCCGCGUGAGCGAUGAAGCCCUUCGGGGCGUAAAGCUCUUUCGACCGGAACGAUAAUGACGGUACCGGGAGAAGAAGCUGCGGCUAACUACGUGCCAGCAGCCGCGGUAAUACGUAGGCAGCAAGCGUUGUUCGGAGUUACUGGGCGUAAAGAGUGCGUAGGCGGUUUUCUAAGUUCGGUGUGAAAUCUCCCGGCUUAACUGGGAGGGUGCGCCGAAGACUGGGAAGCUGGAGUGUGGGAAAGGCAGGCGGAAUUCCUGGUGUAGCGGUGAAAUGCGUAGAUAUCAAGAGGAACACCUGAGGUGAAGACGGGUUGCUGGGCCGACACUGACGCUGAGGCGCGAAAGCCAGGGGAGCAAACG